CUUUACGGAUCACAUUAUGUGACAUAUCAUUCAAGUUUCUGACCUAUCAGCUUUAGACGGUAGGGUAUUGGCCUACCGUGGCUAUGACGGGUAACGGGGAAUUAGGGUUCGAUUCCGGAGAGGGAGCCUGAGAAACGGCUACCACAUCUAAGGAAGGCAGCAGGCGCGCAAAUUACCCAAUCCUAAUACAGGGAGGUAGUGACAAGAAAUAACAAUACAGAGCCUUACGGUUUUGUAAUUGGAAUGAGUUAAGUAUAAACCCCUUAACAAGUAUCAAUUGGAGGGCAAGUCUGGUGCCAGCAGCCGCGGUAAUUCCAGCUCCAAUAGCGUAUAUUAAAGUUGUUGCAGUUAAAAAGCUCGUAGUUAAUUUUCUGUUAAUUUUUAUAUACAAUGYUACGGUAUUUAUAUAAUAUUAACAUAAUUCAUAUUACUUUUUAGUAUAUGAAACUUUACUUUGAGAAAAUUAGAGUGCUUAAAGCAGGCUAUUGCCUUGAAUACUCCAGCAUGGAAUAAUAUUAAGGAUUUUUAUUCUUCUUAUUGGUUCUAGAAUAAAAAUAAUGAUUAAUAGGGACAGUUGGGGGCAUUUGUAUUUAACAGUCAGAGGUGAAAUUCUUAGAUUUGUUAAAGACAAACUACUGCGAAAGCAUUUGCCAAGGAUGUUUUCAUUAAUCAAGAACGAAAGUUAGGGGAUCGAAGACGAUCAG
RNAcentral lists this ribosomal RNA (704 nucleotides) under Cryptosporidium bovis. Its description in RNAcentral is "SSU rRNA". It matches the Rfam family "Eukaryotic small subunit ribosomal RNA", at positions 262 to 1022 of the family's 1831-position model. Lineage: Eukaryota; Apicomplexa; Conoidasida; Eucoccidiorida; Cryptosporidiidae. The record is from RNAcentral.